AGCAGCUGUACUUCCGCCAGGUGAGGAGGCCGUGAUCGCAGCCUCGGGGCUCCCACCCGGCUGUCGCCUGAUCAGACUUAGGAUUGAAAGUGCUUGAAAAGAGUGAUCCAAAAUGCCUGAAAACCCUGCUGCAGAGAAAAUGCAGGUCCUGCAGGUCCUCGACCGCCUGAGGGGGAAGCUGCAAGAGAAGGGAGACACGACGCAGAACGAGAAGCUGUCUGCGUUUUAUGAGACGCUGAAGAGCCCUCUCUUCAACCAGAUCCUUACACUGCAGCAGUCCAUCAAGCAGCUGAAGGGACAGCUCAGCCAUAUCCCCUCAGAUUGUUCAGCCAACUUUGACUUUUCUCGGAAGGGCUUGUUAGUGUUCACGGAUGGUUCCAUUACAAAUGGGAAUGCCCACAGGCCU
This 406-nucleotide long non-coding RNA is filed under the name Rattus norvegicus (Norway rat). RNAcentral's name for it is "long non-coding RNA NONRATT022402". Lineage: Eukaryota; Metazoa; Chordata; Mammalia; Rodentia; Muridae. The record is from RNAcentral.